AAUUCUCAACUCUCUAGCGGUUGUCAUGACCGCUGGUAGAGCUUGGAUGUGAGGGUUCUGCCGGCUCCUUGUUGAGUCUGGCUCCCUUGAAAAAUAUUAGCGCAGCUUUGCACUGUCUGCUACAGGUGUGAUAAUCUAUCUACUCCUGAUUAGUGACGCGCAUGAAUGGCUUUGUGCUUCUAAUCGUCCUCGGACAAUUUUUUGA
Molecule: unclassified non-coding RNA, 205 nt
Filed under: uncultured fungus
Lineage: Eukaryota; Fungi
Also listed under: 1 other name
Description: sequence contains ITS2
Source: RNAcentral